This 517-nucleotide ribosomal RNA is filed under the name uncultured Acidobacteriota bacterium. RNAcentral describes it as "bacterial SSU rRNA". It matches the Rfam family "Bacterial small subunit ribosomal RNA", at positions 13 to 509 of the family's 1533-position model. Lineage: Bacteria; Pseudomonadati; Acidobacteriota. The record is from RNAcentral.
UUGAUCCUGGCUCAGAAUCAACGCUGGCGGCGUGCCUAACACAUGCAAGUCGAACGCGAAAGUCCCGCAAGGGAUCAGUAGAGUGGCAAACGGGUGAGUUACACGUGGGUGACCUGCCUUCGAGUGGGGGAUAACGUCCCGAAAGGGACUCUAAUACCGCAUGACAUCCUGCCUUUGAAUAGGCGGAGAUCAAAGCUGGUGAUCGCAAGACCUAGCGCUCAAAGAGGGGCCCGCGCCUGAUUAGCUAGUUGGUGGGGUAACGGCUCACCAAGGCAACGAUCAGUAUCCGGCCUGAGAGGUCGGACGGACACACUGGGACUGAGACACGGCCCAGACUCCUACGGGAGGCUGCAGUGGGGAAUUGUUCGCAAUGGGCGCAAGCCUGACGACGCAACGCCGUGUGGAGGAUGAAGAUCUUCGGGUCGUAAACUCCUUUCGAUCGAGACGAAUGGCCUCCGGGUGAACAAUCCGGAGGAGUGACGGUACCGAGAGAAGAAGCUCCGGCUAACUCCGUGCU